UAUUAAUUUAAAGAUCUGUCUACAUUUUGGUGAUGAUUCAAACUUUUCUUUUAGAGUUAUUGAGUUUUUUUGUAAAAAAAAGGUGGGUUUCACAUGUUGCGCUGUAUCUCAAAAACAAUUUAUGAUUAUUGCUUAAAACUUUACACAAUUCUUAGUUAUAUUAAUCUUAAAAUCUGUAUACUUUUUGGUGAUGAUUCUAAAUUUUAUUGUAGAGUUAUUGAGUUUUUUUGUAAAAAAAAAAGGGGGGAGUUUCACAUGUCGCACUGUAUCUCAGAAACUGUUCAUGAUUAUUGCAUAAACUUCAAACACAAGACGACGGGCGUAUCAUGCGCUCAUGGUGAGGCUGUUUAUUUAAUUGUUUAGUCCUUUUGAUCUAAUUUCUUAAAGAUAUGUUUUAACUAAUUUUGACAAAUACAUGACUAUUUAAAUUUAUGUCUUUUUUCUUCUCACAACACUCACUUAAAUGAGUUU
Molecule: long non-coding RNA, 471 nt
Filed under: Mytilus galloprovincialis (Mediterranean mussel)
Lineage: Eukaryota; Metazoa; Mollusca; Bivalvia; Mytilida; Mytilidae
Source: RNAcentral